This 305-nucleotide ribosomal RNA is filed under the name uncultured bacterium. RNAcentral describes it as "bacterial SSU rRNA". It matches the Rfam family "Bacterial small subunit ribosomal RNA", at positions 337 to 660 of the family's 1533-position model. The record is from RNAcentral.
GCCUACAGGGCGCAGCAGUGGGGAAUAUUGCACAAUGGGGGAAACCCUGAUGCAGCAACGCCGCGUGAGUGAUGACGGCCUUCGGGUUGUAAAGCUCUGUCUUCAGGGACGAUAAUGACGGUACCUGAAGAAAAAGCAUCGGCUAACUCCGUGCCAGCAGCCGCGGUAAUACGGAGGAUGCGAGCGUUAUCCGGAUUUAUUGGGUUUAAAGGGUGCGUAGGCGAAAUGCCAAGUCAGCGGUAAAAUCGCGGGGCUCAACCUCGCUCCGCCGUUGAAACUGGCGUUCUUGAGUGGGCGAGAAGUAU